This 255-nucleotide ribosomal RNA is filed under the name uncultured bacterium. RNAcentral describes it as "partial 16S ribosomal RNA". It matches the Rfam family "Bacterial small subunit ribosomal RNA", at positions 211 to 465 of the family's 1533-position model. The record is from RNAcentral.
CCUCAUGCUCGUGGAGCGGCCGAUAUCUGAUUAGCUAGUUGGUAGGGUAAAAGCCUACCAAGGCAUCGAUCAGUAGCUGGUCUGAGAGGAAAACCAGCCACACUGUUUUUGGGAAACGGUCCAGACUCCUACGGGAGGCAGCAGUGGGGAAUUUUGGACAAUGGGCGAAAGCCUGAUCCAUCAAGGGCGCGUGAGUGAAGAAGGCCUUCGGGUUGAAAUUAAAAGGGUCAGGGAAGAAAUCGGUGAGAGCUAAUA